AUGGCUCAGGAACCGGGGAUGCAGUGCCAGGCUCAUGGUACCCUGCAGCAGAUGUGGGGAGCUUUCCUUCUUUAUGUUUCCAUGAAGAUGGGAGGCACUACAGGACAAAACAUUGACCAGCCCACUGAGAUGACAGCUACGGAAGGAGCCAUUGUCCAGAUCAAUUGCACGUACCAGACAUCUGGGUUCAACGGGCUGUUCUGGUACCAGCAACAUGCUGGAGAAGCACCCACAUUUCUCUCUUACAAUGUUCUGGAUGGUUUGGACGAGAAAGGUCAUGUUUCUUCAUUCCUUAGUCGCUCUAAAGGGUACAGUUACCUCCUUUUGAAGGAGCUCCAGAUGAAAGAGUCUGCCUCUUACCUCUGUGCUGUGAGAGACACAGUGACUAUGAGGCCUCUUUGGCUGCACCAAAAUUCAAAAGUCAACCACAGCAGCGAGAAGUUGUAUUUCCUGAGUGUAUGCCUGCUGUGAGUUAAGACUGGGACUUUGGAACCAGACUGCCUGGAUUUGAGUUUGCUACUUUCUAGUUGGGUGGUCUUAAGUCAGUCACUAUUUUUUUUUUUUUUGGUUUAUUUCCUUAUCCAGAAAGUGAGAAUAAUGAGUAUCUACCUCACAAGGCUGUUGUGAGUUAUGACUCUC
Molecule: non-coding RNA, 639 nt
Organism: Pongo pygmaeus (Bornean orangutan)
Lineage: Eukaryota; Metazoa; Chordata; Mammalia; Primates; Hominidae
Source: the annotation of a RefSeq genome assembly